AUUAUUAAAGGGCCGCGGUAUUCCUGACCGUGCGAAGGUAGCAUAAUCAUUAGUCUUUUAAUUGAAGGCUUGUAUGAAAGGUUGGACGAAAAAUGGACUGUUUCAAAUAAAAAGAUUGAAUUUAACUUUUAAGUGAAAAGGCUUAAAUAAAUUAAAAAGACGAUAAGACCCUAUAAAUCUUUACAUUUGUUAUUAUAGGUUUUGGAUUGUGUGUGUAAAAAAAAAUAUAAUAAAAAUGUUGUGUUGGGGCAACAGUGAUAUAGUAAUAUUAAUUGUUAAAAAUAAAAACAAAUAUAUUUGUUAAAUAAAGAUCCUUUUUAAAGAUUUAAAGAUUAAGUUACUUUAGGGAUAACAGCGUUAUUUUUUCUGAGAGUUCUUAUCGAAGAAAAAGAUUGCGACCUCGAUGUUGAAUUAAAAAUUCUUUUUAAUGCAGCAGUUAAAAAAGAAAGUCUGUUCGACUUUUAAAUUUUUACAUGAUUUGAGUUCAGACCGGCGUGA
This 498-nucleotide ribosomal RNA is filed under the name Clibanarius antillensis. Its description in RNAcentral is "partial 16S ribosomal RNA". It matches the Rfam family "Bacterial large subunit ribosomal RNA", at positions 1919 to 2624 of the family's 2925-position model. The record is from RNAcentral. Lineage: Eukaryota; Metazoa; Arthropoda; Malacostraca; Decapoda; Diogenidae.